Molecule: ribosomal RNA, 798 nt
Filed under: uncultured archaeon
Lineage: Archaea
Description: bacterial SSU rRNA
Rfam family: Archaeal small subunit ribosomal RNA
Source: RNAcentral
CUAAAGCGUCAGUAGCCGGGCCCGUAAGUCCCUGGCGAAAUCACACGGCUCAACCGUGGGGCUUGCUGGGGAUACUGCGGGCCUUGGGACCGGGAGAGGCGGAGGGUACUCCUGGGGUAGGGGUGAAAUCCUAUAAUCCCAGGAGGACCGCCAGUGGCGAAGGCGCUCCGCUGGAACGGGUCCGAUGGUGAGGGACGAAGGCCAGGGGAGCGAACCGGAUUAGAUACCCGGGUAGUCCUGGCUGUAAAGGAUGCGGGCUAGGUGUCGGGCGAGCUUCGUGCUCACUCGGUGCCGAAGGGAAGCCGUUAAGCCCGCCGCCUGGGGAGUACGGCCGCAAGGCUGAAACUUAAAGGAAUUGGCGGGGGAGCACUACAAGGGGUGGAGCGUGCGGUUUAAUUGGAUUCAACGCCGGGAACCUCACCGGGGGCGACGGCAGGAUGAAGGCCAGGCUGAAGGUCUUGCCGGACACGCCGAGAGGAGGUGCAUGGCCGCCGUCAGCUCGUACCGUGAGGCGUCCACUUAAGUGUGGUAACGAGCGAGACCCGCGCCCCCAGUUGCCAGUCCUUCCCGCUGGGGAGGAGGCACUCUGGGGGGACCGCCGGCGAUAAGCCGGAGGAAGGAGCGGGCGACGGUAGGUCAGUAUGCCCCGAAACCCCCGGGCUACACGCGCGCUACAAUGAGCGGGACAAUGGGAUCCGACCCCGGAAGGGGAAGGGAAUCCCCUAAACCCGCUCCCAGUUCGGAUCGCGGGCUCAACUCGCCCGCGUGAAGCUGGAAUCCCUAGUACCCGCGUGUCAU